UUGAAUUGUGAGAUUGUGUGCAUCAAGUGUGAUGCAGGAUAUUCAUUUUCUUGUUUUUGAUAGGUACUGAUGCACCUUUGGGAUAAUGUAUCAGGUACCAUUGCUUGAGCCUCACUAAAAAUGUUCCUGGUCAGUUCCUUGCUUCUCUAAGAUGGCUGAGAAGUCUGUUGAGAGGGGGAGAUCCAAACCAGUUCUAUGAAGAGGGCAAGCCGUGUGUGAAGUGUUGACCAGCCUCACUAGUGUUUUGAAGAUGAUCUGGUCGUGUCCUAGCUUCUCUAAGAUGGCUGUGAAGUCAGUUGAGAGGGGGAGACUUCAAACCAGUUCCAUGAAGAGGUGAAGCUGAAGUGUGAAGUGUGAAGUGUGCGCAAAGCUGUGAAGAGUUGCUGCACCUGUUAGGCCGUGAUCCAGAGCUUCUUGUGUCCAACCACACUGGUUCUAAG
RNAcentral lists this long non-coding RNA (440 nucleotides) under Brassica rapa (field mustard). RNAcentral describes it as "long non-coding RNA (BRAP_LNC008896)". The record is from RNAcentral. Lineage: Eukaryota; Viridiplantae; Streptophyta; Magnoliopsida; Brassicales; Brassicaceae.